UGGGGAAUUGUUCGCAAUGGGCGCAAGCCUGACGACGCAACGCCGCGUGGAGGACGAAGAUCUUCGGGUCGUAAACUCCUGUCGAGCGGGAAGAACGCUUUCCGGGUGAAUAAUCCGGGAAGGUGACGGUACCGCUAAAGGAAGCCCCGGCUAACUCCGUGCCAGCAGCCGCGGUAAUACGGGGGGGGCAAGCGUUGUUCGGAAGUACUGGACGUAAAGGGCUCGUAGGCGGCCAACUAAGUCGGAUGUGAAAUCCCCAGGCUUAACCUGGGAACUGCAUCCGAUACUGGAUGGCUUGAAUCCGGGAGAGGGAUGCAGAAUUCCAGGUGUAGCGGUGAAAUGCGUAGAUAUCUGGAGGAAUACCGGUGGCGAAGGCGGCAUCCUGGACCGGCAUUGACGCUGAGUGAGCGAAAGCCAGGGGAGCAAAC
RNAcentral lists this ribosomal RNA (428 nucleotides) under uncultured bacterium. Its description in RNAcentral is "bacterial SSU rRNA". It matches the Rfam family "Bacterial small subunit ribosomal RNA", at positions 355 to 773 of the family's 1533-position model. The record is from RNAcentral.